UUAAAUCUUUUUCAAUGAAUCAGACAAAAUCCAACCUUCGGCAUAAAGGCGGCGCCACGACCGCGGCGCCGAAGCACAGGUUUAAGUUCCACAGGUUUGAGGGGUUGAAGGCCCAAAUGGGCCAUUCAAUAAUGAUCCCUCCGCAGGUUCACCUACGGAGA
This 161-nucleotide unclassified non-coding RNA is filed under the name uncultured fungus. RNAcentral's name for it is "sequence contains ITS1, 5.8S rRNA gene". The record is from RNAcentral. Lineage: Eukaryota; Fungi.